RNA transcript from Oncorhynchus keta (chum salmon), 5543 nucleotides. It is a transcript of the gene named protein mono-ADP-ribosyltransferase PARP4-like, with no coding region annotated. NCBI's taxonomy places the organism in Eukaryota, Metazoa, Chordata, Actinopteri, Salmoniformes, Salmonidae. The record is from RefSeq and is a predicted model, not a curated record. The transcript is spliced from 3 exons.
GUUCUCCUUGUGUUUUAAUCUUUGAUUUAUUUGUGAAUAUUUUUAUUUUUCAAUAUUUUUAUUCCAGUCUUUGAUCUUUAAUGAUGACUUCACUGUGUGGGAAGUCCCGGUAACCGCUAACCACAAACGUGCCCGGUAAAGUCCCGGUAACACCCCAAAACGUACCCCGAGCAGAGAGGCGGGGAUAGAUUGAUAUUAUAUGUAGAUAGAUGUGUUUUAUCCAACAGCAUUGUGGCUGGCUCCAUAUAGCAACAGUACCAUUAGAUAAGGUUUACCAGAGGAGAUAGAGGGAGGACUAUGUUUCCCAAAUGGCACUCUCUGCCUUGGUGCACUACCCUAUGGGCCCUGGUCUAAAGUAGAGCACUAUGUAGGGAAUAGGGUGCAAUUUGGGACACAGCCUAGAACAGGCUUGACAACCACAGAACACACCCACGCUUCAUAUUGUGUUACAACCUGAACUAAACUAACCAUCACACCCAGGUAGUUGACAACCCGAACUAAACUAACCAUCACACCCAGGUAGUUGACAACCUGAACUAAACUAACCAUCACACCCAGGUAGUUGACAACCUGAACUAAACUAACCAUCACACCCAGGUAGUUGACAACCUGAACUAAACUAACCAUCACACCCAGGUAGUUGACAACCUGAACUAAACUAACCAUCACACCCACUUAGUUCACAACCUGAACUAAACUACAUGUAUAGAGUCUAUUUAGAGAUAUGUGAUAUACAUUUGUAUGGACAUUUAUUCUCAUGCAUAUAUAUAUACAGGUAACUGCCAAAGUAAAGGAAACACCAACAUAUAGCGUCUCAAUAGGGCGUUGGGCCUCCACCAAUCAGAACAGCUUCAGUCCAUCUUGGCAUGAAUUCUACAAGUGUCUGGAACUCUAUUGGAGGGAUGAGACGCCAUUCUUCCACGAGAAAUUCCAUCAUUUUGUGUUUUUUUUGUUGAUGGUGGUGAAAAACUCUGUCUCAGGUGUCGCUCCAGAAUGUCCCGUAAGUGUUCAAUUGGGUUGAGAUCUGGUGACUGAGACGGCCACGACAUAUGGUUUUUCACCCUAAGCAUGAUGGGAUGUUAAUUGCUUAAUUAACUCAGGAAACACCAGCUUUCAAUCCCUCAUUUCCUCCAGUGUUUCCAUUAUUCUGUCAGCUCCCUGUACAUAUACAGUAUCAUGUAUUGUAUGUAUAUGAGCAGAAUGUCUACUAGCGUGUUGCCCAUCUUCAACACAGUGGCAGACUGGAAGGCAGAUACUUAGUUUGUACUUUGCAGAGGCCUUUUGGUUCAUAGGUUGAGAGGCAAAAGUCUGUCUGUCUCUUUUAAGGUCUUUCCUCCGAUGAUUAAAAGAUUGUAUGAGAUGCUGAAUGAUAUUGAGGGGUUGCUGGCUAGAUCAUCUCCCUAUUAGUUAUUAGAUCAAUUAAAUAGCGCUGCUUUACUCGUUCAUAUGCUUCACCAAUCCUGCUUUACUCGUUCCUACACGUCCCCAAUCCUGCUUUACUCGUUCCUAUGCGUCCCCAAUCCUGCUUUACUCGUUCCUACACGUCCCCAAUCCUGCUUUACUCGUUCCUACACGUCCCCAAUCCUGCUUUACUCGUUCCUACACGUCCCCAAUCCUGCUUUACUCGUUCCUACAUGUCACCAAUCCUGCUUUACUCGUUCAUAUGCUUCACCAAUCCUGCUUUACUCGUUCCUAUGCGUCCCCAAUCCUGCUUUACUCGUUCCUACACGUCCCCAAUCCUGCUUUACUCGUUCAUAUGCUUCCCCAAUCCUGCUUUACUCGUUCCUAUGCUUCCCCAAUCCUGCUUUACUCGUUCCUACACGUCACCAAUCCUGCUUUACUCGUUCCUAUGCUUCACCAAUCCUGCUUUACUCGUCCCUAUGCGUCCCCAAUCGGUGAUCCGACCUAAAUCAAGGGUUUAUAAUCCCUCCCGAUUCACUUUAAAUCACCUUGAACAUCCUCGGCAUGAACAAUGUUCCCCUUUUUCCACAGAAAACUAAAUAAUAAUGUUCAUUGCAAUUCUUUGCUGCUAUGAGAGAAAUUACAAUCCUUCAUCCUUUCUCUUCCCUUCGUUCUGGAGAUCUUUUUUUUUGCACUUUAUGCCUGGCGCACGGUCGCACGGUUGCUUCUCUCCCUGUGUUCUCGUCCUCGUCGUUAGUUUGCCUCGAAGCUGAAUAAAUCGUGUGCCUCUCUUCCUACUUUCUCCCGGACUUUCUCCUGUGUUGUGCCGUGCAUAACUCUAAACUACGAGCCACCAAAAAAAAGCUCAAACCCACAUCGAUAGAUACAAAUAGAUAGAUAGAUUAGAUAAAUACUUUACGGGUGAAAACUGAGCGUUCAAUGGCUACUGUGCCUCAAGAAUAGUAGAUUAUAUAUAGGCUACACGUACCGGUGUGGGGAUGGAUGUUUGGGGGGGAUCAGACCUCGAUAAUAAUCUAUAUUGGUGUCGUAGCAGGUAGGGGGAGGGUUGGGGUUUUUAGAAUGAGGUGCGAUCGCUCGCAUUGGUCAGUCAGGUCACAUGACCUGUUAUUAACCCGUAAGACAAGGACAAUGCAAACCUGACCGACUUGGAUGGUUAGAGAUCUCCUACUUGAAUAUAUAAAACCAGUACAGACCUGUUACACUCUGUAUAUAGAGGAAUAUAUUGAAGGUUUCUAUUGGCUCAUUUACUUCUUUGAUUUAACUGUACCUCUGGCUGUAAACACGCGUGUGCGUGUGCGUGUGCGUGUGCGUGUGUGUGUGUGUGUGUGUGUGUGUGUGUGUGUGUGUGUGUGUGUGUGUGUGUGUGUUUUUCCUCUUAUUUUGCAUUUUACGUUUAAGGUGAUUUUAUAUUUUCCUCGUUUUCUUUUUGCAUCCGUUUGUUUAUGUCUCCCCCUCUCCCAGCGAUCUGAGGGGUUUAUGUCUCCCCCUCUCCCAGCGAUCUGGGGGGUUUAUGUCUCCCCCUCUCCCAGCGAUCUGGGGGUUUAUGUCUCCCCUCUCCCAGCGAUCUGGGGGGUUUAUGUCUCCCCCUCUCCCAGCGAUCUGGGGGGUUUAUGUCUCCCCCUCUCCCAGCGAUCUGGGGGGUUUAUGUCUCCCCCUCUCCCAGCGAUCUGGGGGGUUUAUGUCUCCCCUCUCCCAGCGAUCUGGGGGGUUUAUGUCUCCCCUCUCCCAGCGAUCUGGGGGGUUUAUGUCCCCCCCUCUCCCAGCGAUCUGGGGGGUUUAUGUCCCCCCCUCUCCCAGCGAUCUGGGGGGUUUAUGUCUCCCCCUCUCCCAGCGAUCUGGGGGGUUUAUGUCUCCCCUCUCCCAGCGAUCUGGGGGGUUUAUGUCUCCCCCUCUCCCAGCGAUCUGGGGGGUUUAUGUCUCCCCCUCUCCCAGCGAUCUGGGGGGCUUAUGUCUCCCCCUCUCCCAGCGAUCUGGGGGGUUUAUGUCUCCCCUCUCCCAGCGAUCUGGGGGGUUUAUGUCUCCCCUCUCCCAGCGAUCUGAGGGGUUUAUGUCUCCCCUCUCCCAGCGAUCUGGGGGGUUUAUGUCUCCCCUCUCCCAGCGAUCUUGGGGGUUUAUGUCUCCCCCUCUCCCAGCGAUCUGGGGGGUUUAUGUCUCCCCCUCUCCCAGCGAUCUGGGGGGUUUAUGUCUCCCCUCUCCCAGCGAUCUGGGGGGUUUAUGUCUCCCCUCUCCCAGCGAUCUGGGGGUUUAUGUCUCCCAGCGAUCUGGGGGGUUUAUGUCUCCCCCUCUCCCAGCGAUCUGGGGGGUUUAUGUCUCCCAGCGAUCUGGGGGGGUUUAUGUCUCCCCCUCUCCCAGCGAUCUGGGGGCUUGAUGGCCAGCCAGGGUUUAUGUCUCCCAGCGAUCUGGGGGCUUGAUGGCCAGCUGGGGUUUAUGUCUCCCAGCGAUCUGGGGGCUUGAUGGCCAGCUGGGGUUUAUGUCUCCCAGAGAUCUGGGGGCUUGAUGGCCAGCUGGGGUUUAUGUCUCCCAGCGAUCUGGGGGCUUGAUGGCCAGCCAGGGUUUAUGUCUCCCAGAGAUCUGGGGGCUUGAUGGCCAGCUGGGGUUUAUGUCUCCCAGCGAUCUGGGGGCUUGAUGGCCAGCUGGGGUUUAUGUCUCCCAGCGAUCUGGGGGCUUGAUGGCCAGCUGGGGUUUAUGUCUCCCAGCGAUCUGGGGGCUUGAUGGCCAGCUGGGGUUUAUGUCUCCCAGCGAUCUGGGGGCUUGAUGGCCAGCUGGGGUUUAUGUCUCCCAGAGAUCUGGGGGCUUGAUGGCCAGCCGGGGUUUAUGUCUCCCAGCGAUCUGGGGGCUUGAUGGCCAGCUGGGGUUUAUGUCUCCCAGCGAUCUGGGGGCUUGAUGGCCAGCUGAAGAGUUUCUUUAGAAAUUGUAUUAUUUUACUCUGUGUGUGUAGGGCUGGGGUGGAAGGUCCAUUAAACCCAGGUUUGGCCUCUAGGGCCCCAAUGUCUGACCUGCGCUGAGCUCUGUUGACUGUAGAAGUAUAUGGGGAGCUGGAUAAUCCCUCAAACUUACAGAACAGAAGAGCGUUGACCUAGGUUCUUUCUUUCUUUCCAACAAUCAAUAUCCCCUGUAUACACCUUCUCUCUCUCUCUCUCUCUCUCUCUCUUUCUCUUUCUCUCUCUCUCUCAUCUCUCUCUCUCUCUCACUCUCUCUCUCUCCCUCUCUCUCUCUCUCUCUCUCUCUCUCUCUCUCUCUCUCUCUCUCUCUCUCUCUCUCUCUCUCUCUCUCUCUCUCUCGUUAAUCCAACUAGCACACAUGAAAAACAGUCACUAGUGUCACUGUCAGUUUAUACCAAAUAUAACAUUGUUACUAGAUUUCUAGAGAACUGGUGUCACAACUAAAGCUAAAGAGCCAAUCAGACAGGGGUGGUGGAUGUUGUUUGUUAGAGCUUUCAGACUCCUGGAGAUUCAGACCACUCGUAACAAAAAAACCAAAACUUAUUCCGGAACCUGUCAGGUGUGACUUCUCACUAGUUCUCUAGAAGGUUCUCGAUCAUUCUGUAGAACGUUCUACAGUUGUUCUGUAUUCUGGAAUGUAAUGUCCAAAAGCUAGUCAUUUGCUGUGAAAGAUGAUUGUUUAUUUCCCCAGAUAUUAUUUGUUAUUUUGGUGACACUGGCGCCGACUUCUGACAUAGUUUUUUUUUUUUAGAUCUGCAGGAGAUAUUACCACAGGCUGUGUCCCAAAUCACAUUCCCGACCUAUUUGCUCUACUCUAUAAAGUAUUAUAGGGAUUAGGGUCCCGUUUGGGACGUUGGAACAGAGAGCUGAUGACGAGAUAGGUAUUGGAGAUGUUAUUAUCCCUGAGAAGAGAUGAUUAAAACUAUAUGAUAGGUAUACAAAGGAAAAGAUUGUAACGUUUGAUAAAUGUGUUCAAAUUGUUCAAAUGAAAAUAGGUCUAAAGUUUGCUGUAUUUAUAAUGGCUGUAUUAAAGUCGUGCCUGGUUCUCUUUUUCUUUAUUCAAACACAUUAUAUAUGCUUUCUUUUUACUUGACUACAAUUUAUUUUGCGUUCUGUAUGUAUGUUUUCACUGUAUUGUAAAAUGAUCAGAUAUCACAAUAAACUUUAAAUGGCAUUCGA